Long non-coding RNA from Gordionus sp. m RMFG-2023, 664 nucleotides. RefSeq lists it as uncharacterized. The transcript has 3 exons. NCBI's taxonomy places the organism in Eukaryota, Metazoa, Nematomorpha, Gordioida, Chordodea, Parachordodidae. The record is from RefSeq and is a predicted model, not a curated record.
CUCAGUUCUUCAAUUAUAUAAGAAUGAAGAGAACUACAUUCAAUCAUAUUCUUAACUUGAUAUUUUAUGACAUCAAUCCUAAAGCUACUAACUGCAAUAAGCAAGUAGAUGCAGAGGAUAGGCUAUUCCUCACCUUAAGAUAUUUGAUAACUGGUAUGUCGUUUUCUCUACUAUCAUACAGUUCAAGGACAUCAAAAUCAUGUGUUGCAUAUAUAGUUAAAUCAAUAUGCAGGGCAAUUUGGAAUGCAGCUAAAUAUAUUUACAUGCCAUCAAGAAAGGAUUGGGAAAAAAUUUCACAAGAGUUCCUGCUUCAUUUGAGGUUCCCCAUUGUUUUGGUGCCUUGGAUGGAAAACAUAUCUAUAUAAAAUGUCCUCCCAACCCAAUAGUGGAUAUCAAUUUUUUUGUUACAAACAUAGGUUUACUUUAGUUUUGUUAACAUUAACAAACCACAUGCUCGAGUUAGUGUUGAACAAAGUUUUGGAGGCAUUGUAAAAAAAUUUGAAAUUCUCAGCAAAUAUAGAAGUUAGUUUUUGGAGCAUAUAGAAAUAAUUGUCAAGACUAUAAGCCUUGUGCAUAAUAUAAUAAUAAGCAAUGAAGGAAUAGGUGCUGAAGUUGAUGACAUAGGUACAACAAAUAUUAUAGUAUUUUAUUUUCAUUAUAUUUA